This 659-nucleotide ribosomal RNA is filed under the name uncultured bacterium. RNAcentral's name for it is "bacterial SSU rRNA". It matches the Rfam family "Bacterial small subunit ribosomal RNA", at positions 94 to 788 of the family's 1533-position model. The record is from RNAcentral.
AGUGGCGGACGGGUGAGUAACGCGUGAGAAUCUGCCUUGGGGUCGGGGACAACCACUGGAAACGGUGGCUAAUACCGGAUAAGCCGAUUGGUGAAAGAUUUAUUGCCCGAAGAGGAGCUCGCGUCUGAUUAGCUAGUUGGUGAGGUAAGAGCUCACCAAGGCAGCGAUCAGUAGCUGGUCUGAGAGGACGAUCAGCCACACUGGGACUGAGACACGGCCCAGACUCCUACGGGAGGCAGCAGUGGGGAAUUUUCCGCAAUGGGCGAAAGCCUGACGGAGCAAGACCGCGUGAGGGAGGAAGGCUCUUGGGUUGUAAACCUCUUUUCUCAGGGAAGAAGCUCUGACGGUACCUGAGGAAUCAGCCUCGGCUAACUCCGUGCCAGCAGCCGCGGUAAUACGGAGGAGGCAAGCGUUAUCCGGAAUUAUUGGCGUAAAGCGUCCGCAGGUGGCGAUUCAAGUCUGCUGUCAAAGCACGGGGCUUAACUCCGUAAAGGCAGUGGAAACUGAAUAGCUAGAGUGCCGUAGGGGUAGAGGGAAUUCCCGGUGUAGCGGUGAAAUGCGUAGAGAUCGGGAAGAACAUCGGUGGCGAAAGCGCUCUACUGGACGGCAACUGACACUCAGGGACGAAAGCUAGGGGAGCGAAUGGGAUUAGAUACCCC